RNAcentral lists this transfer RNA (70 nucleotides) under Gillisella vitis. RNAcentral describes it as "Agrobacterium vitis tRNA-Leu". Lineage: Bacteria; Pseudomonadati; Pseudomonadota; Alphaproteobacteria; Hyphomicrobiales; Rhizobiaceae. The record is from RNAcentral. RNAcentral also lists the same sequence under 1 other name.
GUGAUGAAAGUAUGUAAGAACAUACUUGGUAAGGGAGAGGCCGAGAGUUCAAAUCUCUCUAGCAGCACCA